GACGAACGCUGGCGGCGCGCUUAACACAUGCAAGUCGAACGGAAAGGCCUGCUUUCCCUUGUGGAUUGCGGGUACUCGAGUGGCGGACGGGUGAGUAACACGUGAGUGAUCUGCCCCCAACUUGGGUAUAAGCCUGGGAAACUGGGUCUAAUUCCCGAUAGGACUGCAGGGUGGUGCCUGUGGUGGAAAACGAUUUUCUAGUGGUUGGGGAUGAGCUCGCGGCCUAUCAGCUUGUUGGUGGGGUAAUGGCCUACCAAGGCGGCGACGGGUAGCCGGCCUGAGAGGGUGGACGGCCACAUUGGGACUGAGAUACGGCCCAGACUCCUACGGGAGGCAGCAGUGGAGAAUAUUGCACAAUGGGCGGAAGCCUGAUGCAGCGACGCCGCGUGGGGGAUGACGGCCUUCGGGUUGUAAACUCCUUUCGACCGCGAGGAAGCCACCUGGUUGGAAGGGUGGUGACGGUAGUGGUAGAAGAAGCACCGGCUAACUACGUG
RNAcentral lists this ribosomal RNA (494 nucleotides) under uncultured bacterium. RNAcentral's name for it is "partial 16S ribosomal RNA". It matches the Rfam family "Bacterial small subunit ribosomal RNA", at positions 28 to 507 of the family's 1533-position model. The record is from RNAcentral.